RNAcentral lists this non-coding RNA (102 nucleotides) under Pedobacter steynii. RNAcentral describes it as "SAM-I sequence". It matches the Rfam family "SAM riboswitch aptamer (S box leader)". Rfam says of the family: The SAM riboswitch is found upstream of a number of genes which code for proteins involved in methionine or cysteine biosynthesis in Gram-positive bacteria. The SAM riboswitch acts at the level of transcription termination control. The predicted structure consists of a complex stem-loop region followed by a single stem loop terminator region. The record is from Rfam by way of RNAcentral. Lineage: Bacteria; Pseudomonadati; Bacteroidota; Sphingobacteriia; Sphingobacteriales; Sphingobacteriaceae.
UACUUAUCCAGAAAGACUGAGGGAAAGGCCCUGUGAUGUCUUAGCAACCUGUUGAAUAAUAAGGUGCUAAUUCCUGUCCGCCAAAGGCGGAAGAGAUAAGUU